AAUCAUUAGUCUUUUAAUUUGAGACUGGAAUGAAUGGUUGGACUAAAUAAAAUUGUCUCACUUUAAUAUUUUAAAUUUUAUAUUUUAGUAAAAAAGCUAAAAUUAAUUUUAAAGACGAGAAGACCCUAUCAAGCUUUAUAAUCAAAUUUUAUUUUCAAAAUAAAAUUCAAAUUAUUUUACUGGGGCAGUAGACAGAAAACUUCUGUUUAAUUAUUGUGAAACUUUAACUUGUUAAAACAAAAAAUUUUUAAAAAAAAAUAAGUUACUGUAGGGAUAACAGCAUAAUUUUUUUAAAGAGAUCUUAUUAUCAAAAAAGUUUGUGACCUCGAUGUUGGAUUAAGAUACCUACUUCACGCAAUAGUAAACUAAGG
Molecule: ribosomal RNA, 371 nt
Filed under: Scorpiops leptochirus
Lineage: Eukaryota; Metazoa; Arthropoda; Arachnida; Scorpiones; Euscorpiidae
Description: partial large subunit ribosomal RNA
Source: RNAcentral